AGCGGACGUUUUUACUUUUUGCGACAUCGUGUGGGGUUUUAUCCUCGAGCCCAGAACCGUUCAUAAAACGUGCGAGGAUGUGUGUUGACUGUUGUUGGGACGUCGCCGCCGUCGCGUGAAUCCGUUUUGGUGUGAACAAUCCCCGUAAGCCGAGUUGGACAAUUGUUCAUCCAUAGCAGGGCAACGCCGCCAGGACGGUGGAUAAGGCGAAGACGGCGAGCGCCAGAACCGUGGAAAAGUGUCAUCUUUAUGGAAAAUCGCGCCGUCAGCGGUUUUAAGUGGCGCGCAAAAUCAUAAUAAAAGGCGUGCGAAUGUGCAGAGAACGCGGGUACGGGGAUUGCCUUUUCUGAUUUUUUCCUGGCCUUGAUUUCGGACGAAACUGCAGCCAUAAAAAAGACAUUCAACGUGUGAUCGCCGUUUCGAUUGUCCACCCGAAAGAAGGAAAAACGGACAACAAUGGGUGGUAGCACUGGGCGUGGGAAGGUUCAGUCAUAAUAUCUCUUUGAGAGGGCGCAUCAACAGUGGAAUUAACAGUCAAGAAAAAAAAAACGAUUUUUCGGCUGACAUCCAGUUCAACAAAGGAUUAGUACAAUAGCUCGCAAUGGUACAAAAAGUGAGGGAUGAAUGUGGAGGUUCCGAUUGAGAAGUGUUAUCCUAAGUGGUUGAGAGAAGCGGAAGAAGUUUUACUUUCACGCACUGAUGGAAGAGCUCGGCACAAAUCGCUCGAGAAGCUGUUAAAUGGGUCGGGAAAAUCGUUGCCGGAGAAUAGUGCUGCGGGGAAGUGAGCUCUAGACGGUAAUAGUAAACCCUCGGGGUGAUUGAUUUGAGUUUGUGUUUUGAGUUAUGGACUAGAAGCUUACCGGUGAUGGAAUGGUGAAAGCGUGAAGUAAGAUGGAUAUGGGAAGUGCACGUAAUUGAGAUCAGCAUUCUACAACUUCCAAGAGUUUUCGGAAUAUCAGUCGAUCAGCACUUUUACACCUAUCCAAUUUUCUGCCAGAACAUAAAAAUUAAGUUCCUCCUGGUACCGGUGCAACAGUCGGUGAAGGCAGCUGUUGGAAGGUAGCAUAUUUCCCACAUCUGUUACAUGCAUUGAGAGUAC
Molecule: long non-coding RNA, 1099 nt
Organism: Armigeres subalbatus
Lineage: Eukaryota; Metazoa; Arthropoda; Insecta; Diptera; Culicidae
Exons: 3
Source: RefSeq, a predicted model, not a curated record